CUGCUAUAUUAUCAGUAGUAGUAGUACAUGCCAAUGGCCACUUCUCCAUUCCUCUCCUUCUCCUUCCUGUGUGUAUUACUUGUCUGUCUCAUGUUCUUGCAAGAACGAAGUUUUGCUGGUGUGAGAGAAUGAAGCUGCCAGCAUGAUCUGGUUGUCAGGCAUGAGCCAAAUCUAUCCAUGGUGUUGGUGGUACUGAAAUUACCGCGUUUUCGAGGUUUUUCGUCGUGUCAACUUGCGAAGGGAAUUACGGGUUCUUGAUGAGCAUUGGUGAUAGGAGGUGUGGGCUUGGUUAGUAGAGGUAGAAUUAUGAUUGUUCUUGUGAGUUUCAGUAAGAGGUGGGAGUGAUUGGAAUUUGGCUCCAUCAGAUCAUGUUGCAGCUUCACUCUCUCACCACCAACAAAAGAUCCGAAGGAGAUUGUGCAAGUUCUCCAUUUCUUUGUUGUCCUAUGAUGGAUCAUGAAAACAAGGUAGAUUUGCUAUCUCUCACCUUGUUGUACGAUUUCGUUUGUUUAUUAGAUCUUUAUUUCAUUAUGGUGUUUCUCUUUCUUUUGAGAGUUUGAUUUUGUCCUCUCCUUUUCAUAGAACUGCGUGAUUUUGCUUUUGUUCUACUUUGCAAAAGCUUUGCCUCAUGCAAAAUUCUCUCGCCUUUUUCACUGCAUAUAACAUAUGUAUAAUUUACAGAAGUAUUGAUCUGCUUCAGUUGCAUCAGCUUAACCCAUUAAAUCAAGCUGAUCCUUAGUGGAAUAGAACUAUAGAAAGGAAGGAAAACCAGUGAUCAUUUGUCACAUACACAGUUUCAAAUGUUGUUUAUUUCUUGUCCUCUUGAAAUCAUUUUGUGCAGUAAUUCUGCUAAAUGUCUUCCAACUUUGCUACAGUUACGAAAUUCAA
Molecule: small RNA, 888 nt
Filed under: Oryza sativa Japonica Group (Japanese rice)
Lineage: Eukaryota; Viridiplantae; Streptophyta; Magnoliopsida; Poales; Poaceae
Description: sRNA Os02g0169275
Rfam family: MIR167 microRNA precursor family (bases 117-394)
Source: RNAcentral